GAUGAACGCUGGCGGCGUGCCUAACACAUGCAAGUCGAACGGAGAUUACGGACGGAAGUUUUCGGAUGGAAGACUGUAAUUCUUAGUGGCGGACGGGUGAGUAACGCGUGGGCAACCUGCCCUAUACAGGGGGAUAGCAGCUGGAAACGGCUGGUAAGACCGCAUAAGUCGGUUAAAUCGCAUGAUUUGAUCGGGAAAUGAGCAAUCAGGUAUAGGAUGGGCCCGCGUCCGAUUAGCCAGUUGGCAGGGUAAAAGCCUACCAAAGCGACGAUCGGUAGCCGGACUGAGAGGUCGGACGGCCACAUUGGGACUGAGACACGGCCCAAACUCCUACGGGAGGCAGCAGUGGGGGAUCUUGCACAAUGGAGGAAGCUCUGAUGCAGCGACGCCGCGUGAGUGAAGAAGUAUUUCGGUAUGUAAAGCUCUAUCAGCAGGGAAGAUGAUGACGGUACCUGACGAAGAAGCCCCGGCUAACUACGUG
Molecule: ribosomal RNA, 481 nt
Filed under: uncultured bacterium
Lineage: Bacteria
Description: partial 16S ribosomal RNA
Rfam family: Bacterial small subunit ribosomal RNA
Source: RNAcentral